AGAACACAAGGAAGGGCUAUAGCUCAAUUAGGUAGAGCACCUCGUUUACACACCGAGAAGGUCUACGGUUCGAAUCCGUAUAGCCCUA
RNAcentral lists this transfer RNA (88 nucleotides) under Sonerila plagiocardia. Its description in RNAcentral is "tRNA-Val". The stretch from base 13 to 88 matches the Rfam family "tRNA". From Rfam's summary of the family: Transfer RNA (tRNA) molecules are approximately 80 nucleotides in length. Their secondary structure includes four short double-helical elements and three loops (D, anti-codon, and T loops). The record is from RNAcentral. Lineage: Eukaryota; Viridiplantae; Streptophyta; Magnoliopsida; Myrtales; Melastomataceae.